GACAGAGGGUGCAAGCGUUGUUCGGAUUCAUUGGGCGUAAAGGGCGCGUAGGCGGCUUGGUAAGUCGAAUGUGAAAUCCCAUGGCUUAACCAUGGAAGUGCAUUCGAAACUGCUUCGCUAGAGUCUCAGAGAGGGUGGUGGAAUUCCCAGUGUAGAGGUGAAAUUCGUAGAUAUUGGGAGGAACACCGGUGGCGAAGGCGACCACCUGGAUGAAGACUGACGCUGAGGCGCGAAAGCGUGGGUAGCAAACAGG
RNAcentral lists this ribosomal RNA (253 nucleotides) under uncultured bacterium. Its description in RNAcentral is "partial 16S ribosomal RNA". It matches the Rfam family "Bacterial small subunit ribosomal RNA", at positions 524 to 776 of the family's 1533-position model. The record is from RNAcentral.